Molecule: ribosomal RNA, 328 nt
Filed under: uncultured bacterium
Lineage: Bacteria
Description: bacterial SSU rRNA
Rfam family: Bacterial small subunit ribosomal RNA
Source: RNAcentral
GACGAACGCUGGCGGCGCGCCUAACACAUGCAAGUCGAACGGAGUUAUUUCAGCAGAAGCUUUCGGGUGGACGCAGGGAUAACUUAGUGACGAACGGGUGAGUAACACGUGAGGAACCUGCCCUGGAGUGGGGGACGAACAGUUGGAACGACUGCUAAUACCGCAUAAGCCCACCAGCACCGCAUGGUGCAGCGGGAAAAACGUACCGGUGGUAUGAGAUGGACCCGCGUCUGAUUAGCUAGUUGGUGAGGUAACGGCUCACCAAGGCGACGAUCAGUAGCCGACCUGAGAGGGUGAUCGGCCACAUUGGGACUGAGACACGGCCCAA